RNAcentral lists this ribosomal RNA (273 nucleotides) under uncultured bacterium. RNAcentral describes it as "partial 16S ribosomal RNA". It matches the Rfam family "Bacterial small subunit ribosomal RNA", at positions 524 to 796 of the family's 1533-position model. The record is from RNAcentral.
UACGUAGGUGGCAAGCGUUGUCCGGAUUUAUUGGGUUUAAAGGGUGCGUAGGCGGCUCUGUAAGUCAGUGCUGAAAUAUCCCGGCUUAACUGGGAGGGUGGCAUUGAUACUGUGGAGCUAGAGUACAGAUGAGGUAGGCGGAAUUGACGGUGUAGCGGUGAAAUGCUUAGAUAUCGUCAAGAACACCUAUAGCGAAGGCAGCUUACUAGGCUGUAACUGACGCUGAGGCACGAAAGUGUGGGGAUCAAACAGGAUUAGAAACCCCCGUAGUCC